GAUGAACGCUAGCGACAGGCUUAACACAUGCAAGUCGAGGGGCAGCAGGGGAGUAGCAAUACUCCCGCUGGCGACCGGCGCACGGGUGAGUAACACGUAUGCAACCUGCCCUUGUCAGGGGGAUAAGCGGAAGAAAUUCCGUCUAAUACCGCAUAAUGCUGCGGGGAGACAUCUCCCUGCAGCCAAAGAUUUAUCGGACAAGGAUGGGCAUGCGGCGCAUUAGCUUGUUGGCGGGGUAACGGCCCACCAAGGCGACGAUGCGUAGGGGUUCUGAGAGGAAGGUCCCCCACACUGGUACUGAGACACGGACCAGACUCCUACGGGAGGCAGCAGUGAGGAAUAUUGGUCAAUGGCCGGGAGGCUGAACCAGCCAAGUCGCGUGAGGGAAGACGGUCCUAUGGAUUGUAAACCUCUUUUGUCAGGGAGCAAAAACUGCCACGUGUGGCAGGAUGAGAGUACCUGAAGAAAAAGCAUCGGCUAACUCCGUGCCAGCAGCCGCGGUAAUACGGAGGAUGCGAGCGUUAUCCGGAUUUAUUGGGUUUAAAGGGUGCGUAGGCGGACAGUUAAGUCAGCGGUAAAAUUGAGAGGCUCAACCUCUUCCCGCCGUUGAAACUGAUUGUCUUGAGUGGGCGAGAAGUAUGCGGAAUGCGUGGUGUAGCGGUGAAAUGCAUAGAUAUCACGCAGAACUCCGAUUGCGAAGGCAGCAUACCGGCGCCCAACUGACGCUGAAGCACGAAAGCGUGGGUAUCGAACAGGAUUAGAUACCCUGGUAGUCCACGCAGUAAACGAUGAAUACUAAUUGUUCGGGUCAAAUGAGAUCUGAGUGAUACAGCGAAAGCGUUAAGUAUUCCACCUGGGGAGUACGCCGGCAACGGUGAAACUCAAAGGAAUUGACGGGGGCCCGCACAAGCGGAGGAACAUGUGGUUUAAUUCGAUGAUACGCGAGGAACCUUACCCGGGCUCAAACGACACAGGAAUGAUCUGAGAAAUCAGGCAGUCCUUCGGGACCUGUGUCGAGGUGCUGCAUGGUUGUCGUCAGCUCGUGCCGUGAGGUGUCGGCUUAAGUGCCAUAACGAGCGCAACCCCCAUCGACAGUUGCCAGCAGGUCAAGCUGGGCACUCUGUCGAGACUGCCGGCGCAAGCUGUGAGGAAGGCGGGGAUGACGUCAAAUCAGCACGGCCCUUACGUCCGGGGCGACACACGUGUUACAAUGGCAGGUACAGCGGGAAGCCACCUGGCGACAGGGAGCGGAACCCGAAAGCCUGUCUCAGUUCGGAUUGGAGUCUGCAACUCGACUCCAUGAAGCUGGAUUCGCUAGUAAUCGCGCAUCAGCCACGGCGCGGUGAAUACGUUCCCGGGCCU
Molecule: ribosomal RNA, 1362 nt
Filed under: uncultured bacterium
Lineage: Bacteria
Description: 16S ribosomal RNA
Rfam family: Bacterial small subunit ribosomal RNA
Source: RNAcentral